Molecule: ribosomal RNA, 452 nt
Filed under: uncultured bacterium
Lineage: Bacteria
Description: bacterial SSU rRNA
Rfam family: Bacterial small subunit ribosomal RNA
Source: RNAcentral
UACGGGAGGCAGCAGUGGGGAAUAUUGCACAAUGGGCGCAAGCCUGAUGCAGCCAUGCCGCGUGUAUGAAAAAGGCCUUCGGGUUGUAAAGUACUUUCAGUCGUGAGGAAGGUGUUAAGGUUAAUAACCUUAGCAAUUGACGUUAGCGACAGAAGAAGCACCGGCUAACUCCGUGCCAGCAGCCGCGGUAAUACGGAGGGUGCGAGCGUUAAUCGGAAUUACUGGGCUAAAGGGCACGCAGGCGGUUAAUUAAGUUGGAUGUGAAAUCCCCGGGCUUAACCUGGGAAUGGCAUUCAAGACUGGUUAGCUAGAGUCUUGUAGAGGGGGUAGAAUUCCGAUGUGUAGCGGUGAAAUGCGUAGAGAUGUGGAGGAAUACCGGUGGCGAAGGCGGCCCCUGGACAAAGACUGACGCUCAUGUGCGAAAGCUGGGGAGCAAACAGGGAUUAGAUACC